This 472-nucleotide ribosomal RNA is filed under the name uncultured bacterium. RNAcentral describes it as "bacterial SSU rRNA". It matches the Rfam family "Bacterial small subunit ribosomal RNA", at positions 328 to 792 of the family's 1533-position model. The record is from RNAcentral.
GCUCCAGACUCCUACGGGAGGCAGCAGUGGGGAAUAUUGCGCAAUGGACGAAAGUCUGACGCAGCGACGCCGCGUGAGGGAUGAAGGUUUUCGGAUCGUAAACCUCUGUCAGGAGGGAAGAAAGCGUAUGGCGCCAAUCAGCCAUGCGUUGACGGUACCUUCAAAGGAAGCACCGGCUAACUCCGUGCCAGCAGCCGCGGUAAUACGGAGGGUGCGAGCGUUAAUCGGAAUUACUGGGCGUAAAGCGCACGUAGGCUGUAUGACAAGUCAAGGGUGAAAUGCCACGGCUCAACCGUGGAACUGCCUUUGAAACUGUCAAACUGGAGUAUGUGAGAGGGCGGCGGAAUUCCUGGUGUAGGAGUGAAAUCCGUAGAUAUCAGGAGGAACAUCAGUGGCGAAGGCGGCCGCCUGGCACAAAACUGACGCUGAGGUGCGAAAGCGUGGGUAGCAAACAGGAUUAGAUACCCCAGUA